GACGAACGCUGGCGGCGUGCUUAACACAUGCAAGUCGAACGGAAAGGCCCUGCUUUUGUGGGGUGCUCGAGUGGCGAACGGGUGAGUAACACGUGAGUAACCUGCCCUUGACUUUGGGAUAACUUCAGGAAACUGGGGCUAAUACCGGAUAGGAGCUCCUGCAGCAUGGUGGGGGUUGGAAAGUUUCGGCGGUUGGGGAUGGACUCGCGGCUUAUCAGCUUGUUGGUGGGGUAGUGGCUUACCAAGGCUUUGACGGGUAGCCGGCCUGAGAGGGUGACCGGCCACAUUGGGACUGAGAUACGGCGCAGACUCCUACGGGAGGCAGCGGUGGGGAAUCUUACACAGUGAGCGGAAGCCUGAUGCGGCAGCGCCGCGUGCGGAAUGACGGCCUUCGGGUUGUAAACCGCUUUCGCCUGUGACGAAGCGUGAGUGACGGUAAUGAGUAAAGAAGCACCGGCUAACUACGUG
Molecule: ribosomal RNA, 468 nt
Filed under: uncultured bacterium
Lineage: Bacteria
Description: partial 16S ribosomal RNA
Rfam family: Bacterial small subunit ribosomal RNA
Source: RNAcentral